GGUGCUUUGCUACUACAAUUUUGCUGCAGAGGCAACAAGUAGCAAGGGAAAAAGAAGAGCAUGAUUGACAUCCGUAGUCAAAAUGAGCUUUGGACAUCAGGUGGUUCAACGUGUCGAGCGGUAGCAGCGCAUGCUCCGAAUGGUUGCCGGUGCAAGGAGGAUACAGGGAUGCUACAUUGCUGGAGGAGCAGUAGCAUGUAGUAGCUAGCUGAUGAAAAAGGUAUUGUCCUGUAGGUUUGGUCUUACCUAGUAUGGAUAACAUUUUUAUGGAAAACUUGUGAUUUCCCUGGUGCGCUAACAUGAUGUGUUGGAAUAUCAGUAUCCGCACAGCCAGCGGCCUGCUCUGGCCAUGCCGCACCACCACUGGCAUGUCCACCAUGGUUGCUGGCAGCCGUCCAAGUUGAGCGCUGAUGGUAGUCCUCUCCAUGCAUCAACGACACUCUCUCACUCUCACAGCAAAUCUCUCUCUCUCACUUUGCUUCGGCUAUUAAAAUGCGUACAUAUGUUCUACUAAUUAAGUAGUUAGGAAGAUGUGAAAAGAACUUCCUCUUUAGGUGUUCAUUACAAUUUACUAUUUUUGUUCAAUUCAAAAAUCUUAUUUUAGCCAUGUAAUAUACGUAGUUGGCAAAGAUGACUAUAGUUGUUAUAGCAAAAGCAGUACAAACUUUUUAGAAGUUUCUUUUUGAACUUCUCCCAAUUAUGAUGCACAAAAUAAAGAAGUAUGGGAUCCUUGGUUUACUUACAGGUAGGUCAUCAUUCAAACCUAACACAGAAACUCCUCGCUCGACAUUCGAACUCUUCUUUUCUCAAGACUAGUACUGCUAACUGUUCUUUCACUAUGUAUUCUUUCUCUCAGUUCAUACAGAAACGUGGUAAUAGUUUGAUGUGGAGAAAUAGUUCAUUUUUAUAUAUCAUAAGAAGAAAAGAACAUGUUUCCUAUAGGAGAAAAUCAAAAUAUUAUUAGCAACUCACUAUGUAUUCUACCAUCAGUUCUAUGUGUGUUAGUGAGAGGGUUCGGUGUCUCAUUGUUUUCACUUGCCCAGAAAAAAAUGUUUUGUUGCAGACUAGGAACAUUAUAUUUGUAGUUUUUUAUAAACAAAGAACUAGUAAGUUCAUAUAAGUUCAAAAGACAAAGCAUCGAAAGUUCAGUCGAAAGCUCUCACCACCUUCCUUUCUAUUUCUUAAUUAUUGUAGGACAUUUCAAGCACUGAGCAAAAGGGAUUAGUAUACAUUGCAGAAGUAGUUGUAGGAUGCUCAAGUUCUUUUGACUUUCUUUUCUCUCAUUCUUGACGAGUUGUUUCUUUUUUCUGGUUUCAAAAGUAGAAGAGGAAGAUGUCGAUGAAAUGCAUGAUAAUUAAUUCCCUUGAAACCGCCAUUGGUAACCUCAUUCUUCUUUCUCGACCGGAAACAAGAGGGAGCUGCAGCACUGAGACAGAUGGAGAUGCACACAUGCCAUGAUCAACACAUGCUAGACUCCAUGUCGAAUGCUCAAUUUUUUCCCUGGACUCUUGCGGCAAUUGAACUGUUUGCUGCGAAACUCCUACGUUUCGAACGAAAUGGUUACCAUGCAUCCAGGCUUAUGUAUAUCAAGAUUGUAUAGAGCUGCAGAUCACAAGAACACAUGCACUAUAGUGUCCACUUGUUGUCACUUCCCAUCUCCUGUAUUAUUCCAUCUGUAGCUCAGUCGGUUGUGCCUUGCUAAUGCCCUUUUAUUUAUUGAUGAAACAAUAGAAAAAUGCCCUGUUGGUGCCUAGGAAUUGAGCAAAUGAUGCACUGGUUUGUGCCUGGGGAUAAAGUAGAUGCAGCAGUCCAAC
This 1814-nucleotide ribosomal RNA is filed under the name Triticum aestivum (bread wheat). RNAcentral's name for it is "partial small subunit ribosomal RNA". The record is from RNAcentral. Lineage: Eukaryota; Viridiplantae; Streptophyta; Magnoliopsida; Poales; Poaceae.